RNAcentral lists this ribosomal RNA (274 nucleotides) under uncultured bacterium. RNAcentral describes it as "partial 16S ribosomal RNA". It matches the Rfam family "Bacterial small subunit ribosomal RNA", at positions 523 to 796 of the family's 1533-position model. The record is from RNAcentral.
AUACGAAGGGCCCGAGCGUUAAUCGGAAUCACUGGGCUUAAAGGGUGCGCAGGCGGGCAGGUCAGUGUCUCGUGAAAUCCCACGGCUCAACCGUGGAAUUGCUAGGCAUACUACCUGUCUUGAGCCCGGCAGGGGCCGUCGGAACUCUAGGUGGAGCGGUGAAAUGCGUAGAUAUCUAGAGGAACGCCAAAGGUGAAGACAGACGGCUGGGCCGGCGCUGACGCUCAGGCACGAAAGCGUGGGGAGCGAACGGGAUUAGAAACCCCGGUAGUCC